RNAcentral lists this transfer-messenger RNA (328 nucleotides) under Hydrotalea flava. It matches the Rfam family "transfer-messenger RNA". From Rfam's summary of the family: Bacterial tmRNA, also known as 10Sa RNA or SsrA, is named for its dual tRNA and mRNA-like properties. Its role is to liberate the mRNA from a stalled ribosome. The record is from RNAcentral. Lineage: Bacteria; Pseudomonadati; Bacteroidota; Chitinophagia; Chitinophagales; Chitinophagaceae.
GGGCCUGUAUUGGUUUCGACAGCAUAGGUUACGGUAAGUGGAAGCAUGCAGUGCGUUNNCACAGUAUGCCAUGGCUGCCUAAUUAGUAAUUAGUCAGUCAUUCGGGCCGCCGCACAGGUUUAUCUGUUACCAGGUGCCGCCGCCGACUCAAAACAAACACAGGUUGCUGCAAUAGAAGGCUGUGACUAUUGCAAAAGAAUAUACAGCUAAGCAUUGAAUUGGUUUGUUCAUUUCCGGUUCAUUGCCGACAAUUAAUAAUGAAAUAAGCAUGUAGAAGACUUAUGGUAAAUAUGUUUGGACAGGAGUUCGAUUCUCCUCAGGUCCACCU